GACCGGGAUAACCCUGGGAAACUGGGGAUAAUACUGGAUAGGCAAUUUUUCCUGUAAUGGUUUUUUGUUUAAAUGUUUUUUCGCCUAAGGAUGGGUCUGCGGCCGAUUAGGUAGUUGGUUAGGUAAUGGCUUACCAAGCCGUUGAUCGGUACGGGUUGUGAGAGCAAGAGCCCGGAGAUGGAACCUGAGACAAGGUUCCAGGCCCUACGGGGUGCAGCAGGCGCGAAACCUCCGCAAUGUGAGAAAUCGCGACGGGGGGAUCCCAAGUGCCAUUCUUAACGGGAUGGCUUUUCAUUAGUGUAAAGAGCUUUUGGAAUAAGAGCUGGGCAAGACCGGUGCCAGCCGCCGCGGUAACACCGGCAGCUCUAGUGGUAGCAAUUUUUAUUGGGCCUAAAGCGUCCGUAGCCGGUUUAAUAAGUCUCUGGUGAAAUCCUGCAGCUUAACUGUGGGAAUUGCUGGAGAUACUAUUAGACUUGAGACCGGGAGAGGUUAGAGGUACUCCCAGGGUAGAGGUGAAAUUCUGUAAUCCUGGGAGGACCGCCUGUUGCGAAGGCGUCUAACUGGAACGGUUCUGACGGUGAGGGACGAAAGUUAGGGGCGCGAACCGGAUUAGAUACCCGGGUAGUCCUAACUGUAAACGAUGCGGACUUGGUGUUGGGGUGGCUUUGAGCUGCUUCAGUGCCGAAGGGAAGCUGUUAAGUCCGCCGCCUGGGAAGUACGGUCGCAAGACUGAAACUUAA
Molecule: ribosomal RNA, 740 nt
Filed under: uncultured archaeon
Lineage: Archaea
Description: bacterial SSU rRNA
Rfam family: Archaeal small subunit ribosomal RNA
Source: RNAcentral